Molecule: long non-coding RNA, 272 nt
Organism: Physella acuta
Lineage: Eukaryota; Metazoa; Mollusca; Gastropoda; Physidae
Source: RefSeq, a predicted model, not a curated record
AACCAACCUUCUAUGUUACGUUUCUUCUUCGAACUAACUAAAAUACCUACACCUUAUAUUACAGAAUUUCAAUUUAAUUAAAGUUCCUCUAGCUCAAAAUGUCUUCAAGAACAGAAGCCCGCAAAGCAAGACAACUGAGUAUUGUACAGAAUCCAAUGACAUAUUUCGCUGAAGAAAAAGAGAACCUUGAAAAUUACUUGAACAAAUUUGCACAAAAGAUCAUAAGUGAAGCUAAUCAAUGGAUAGAAAACUCUAUCGGAAGGGAAAUAACA